This 253-nucleotide ribosomal RNA is filed under the name uncultured bacterium. RNAcentral describes it as "partial 16S ribosomal RNA". It matches the Rfam family "Bacterial small subunit ribosomal RNA", at positions 524 to 776 of the family's 1533-position model. The record is from RNAcentral.
UACGGAGGGAGCUAGCGUUGUUCGGAAUUACUGGGCGUAAAGCGCGCGUAGGCGGCUUUGUAAGUUAGAGGUGAAAGCCCGGGGCUCAACUCCGGAACUGCCUUUAAGACUGCAUCGCUAGAAUCCGGGAGAGGUGAGUGGAAUUCCGAGUGUAGAGGUGAAAUUCGUAGAUAUUCGGAAGAACACCAGUGGCGAAGGCGGCUCACUGGACCGGCAUUGACGCUGAGGUGCGAAAGCGUGGGGAGCAAACAGG